This is a long non-coding RNA of Alligator sinensis (Chinese alligator), 1270 nucleotides long. RefSeq lists it as uncharacterized. The transcript is spliced from 3 exons. NCBI's taxonomy places the organism in Eukaryota, Metazoa, Chordata, Crocodylia, Alligatoridae. The record is from RefSeq and is a predicted model, not a curated record.
GACCAACCCAGGUUGUGGCUGAGAGUGGACUCCUGAUGACUCCAAGAAACUGUGAAGCAGCCCUGCCAGUGAGAGCACCCAGCUGAGUGAUCCAGGGAUGUGGAACCAGGGGACAAUUAAUUAACACUGAUACUCAACCCAUGGACCUGAUCCAGCCCCAGAAGCAAUAUCAUCUGGCCUGCAGGGCUCCCUAUGGAUUCAAAAAUUUAGUGCCAGGGCCAUUAGGCUGGAUGGUUUGAGCACCACUGCUCUAGAAGCUUAAAGAUUCUUUUUGUUCUUGUUUAGCAUUUUUUCAAUCAAUUUGUAGGAAUGAAAGUUAGAUUUAUCAAAUCACAAUUUCCUCCACAUAGUUUUCCUUAAAGAUUGCAUUAUUUGCUUUUUCUCCAUUCUUCCCAGUUCCCAAGACCAGUGUGUAUUCAGUAAGUUUAGUUAGAUAAUUCUGAGAUGUGUACCUUGCUAAUCCAUAACAACAACUGCUUAAACAACAACUGCACACCAGAAUGAGUGCGCACUGAAAAAUCUAUCAAAGACAAGAAUACCCAACUAUCUGUGAGGCACACUUCUCACAAAAUAAGCACUCCCUCUCCAAACUGUUUUAAUCCUCAAAGGAAAUUUACAAAACACCUUCAUAGACAAGCCCAUUAACUUCACUUCAUAAAUCUACUGGAUACAAAAAAUUAUGGACUCAAUAUAGACAUUGGAUUCAUGACACAUUACAACCUGCCAGACAUCUGAUUCACCAGAAAAGAUCAGAAUCUUACAAAAAAACUAAGGACUGGAUAAUAUCUGAAAAUGUAUAAAGGAAAAGAAAUAUGGAGGAACGCAUCAUGGCAUAAGGCACAGCCUAAGAUUUAUAUAUAAACAGAGGAUAUCUGCUAGACUCAGGGCAUCUUUUAGUGCAUCUGUCUAAUCUAUAUACCAAGUUUUAAAAACAGAAACAAGCUCUAUUGAUAGUUAUACUAAUGUACAGUACACAUUUUAUGUGGACUUUGAAGAUAUAUUGUACAGUAGACACAAAUGCCACUGCAUAUACAAUAUUUACAGAAUUAUGGAAAAAUUGGACUGGAAGUGACUCUAAAGGUCCAACCCCUUACUCAUAGCAGAAUCGUCCAUUUCCACCAUUUAAGUCAAGUAUUUGUCUAACCUUAUCUUAAAAAGUUACAUCCAUCUCCAACAGUGCUUCUUUUCCAGUGAAGAAAACAGCUUCCCUGCUUAAAAUAAGCACACCAGUUUUGGAGGGCUGAUUACUGGGGCAAAGAUACUGUGCGGG